AAAUUGAAGAGUUUGAUCAUGGCUCAGAUUGAACGCUGGCGGCAGGCCUAACACAUGCAAGUCGAACGGUAACAGGAAGCAGCUUGCUGCUUCGCUGACGAGUGGCGGACGGGUGAGUAAUGUCUGGGAAGCUGCCUGAUGGAGGGGGAUAACUACUGGAAACGGUAGCUAAUACCGCAUAACGUCGCAAGACCAAAGG
This 199-nucleotide ribosomal RNA is filed under the name Escherichia coli. Its description in RNAcentral is "partial 16S ribosomal RNA". It matches the Rfam family "Bacterial small subunit ribosomal RNA", at positions 1 to 207 of the family's 1533-position model. The record is from RNAcentral. Lineage: Bacteria; Pseudomonadati; Pseudomonadota; Gammaproteobacteria; Enterobacterales; Enterobacteriaceae.